CGGGUGAGUAACACGUAUCCAACCUGCCGUCUACUCUUGGCCAGCCUUCUGAAAGGAAGAUUAAUCCAGGAUGGCAUCAUGAGUUCACAUGUCCGCAUGAUUAAAGGUAUUUUCCGGUAGACGAUGGGGAUGCGUUCCAUUAGACAGUAGGCGGGAUAACGGCCCACCUAGUCUUCGAUGGAUAGGGGUUCUGAGAGGAAGGUCCCCCACAUUGGAACUGAGACACGGUCCAA
RNAcentral lists this ribosomal RNA (233 nucleotides) under uncultured bacterium. RNAcentral describes it as "partial 16S ribosomal RNA". It matches the Rfam family "Bacterial small subunit ribosomal RNA", at positions 103 to 334 of the family's 1533-position model. The record is from RNAcentral.